UCUUGGUCAUUUAGAGGAAGUAAAAGUCGUAACAAGGUCUCCGUAGGUGAACCUGCGGAAGGAUCAUUAUCAAAACAGCGGACUUCGGUCCUUGCUGCACCCUUGUCUUUUGCGCACCGUAUUGUUUCCUCGGCGGGCUUGCCUGCCGGUUGGACAUUAUCAAAACCUUUUUGUAGUUGCAAUCAGCGUCAGAAAAACAAUAAUUAUUACAACUUUCAACAACGGAUCUCUUGGUUCUGGCAUCGAUGAAGAACGCAGCGAAAUGCGAAAAGUAGUGUGAAUUGCAGAAUUCAGUGAAUCAUCGAAUCUUUGAACGCACAUUGCGCCCCUUGGUAUUCCAUGGGGCAUGCCUGUUCGAGCGUCAUUUUGUACCCUCAAGCACAGCUUGGUGUUGGGCGUUUGUCCUGCAGAGGACUCGCCUGAAAGCGAUUGGCGGCCAACGUAGUCGUGGCAGAGCGCAGCACAAUCUCGCGUCUCUCCCCUCUGCGUCGGCGUCCAUGAAGCCUACAAUCUCAACGUUUGACCUCGGAUCAGGUAGGGAUACCCGCUGAACUUAAGCAUAUCAAUAAGCGGAGGAA
This 578-nucleotide ribosomal RNA is filed under the name Dokmaia sp. 2 TMS-2011. RNAcentral's name for it is "eukaryotic LSU rRNA". The stretch from base 211 to 364 matches the Rfam family "5.8S ribosomal RNA". The record is from RNAcentral. Lineage: Eukaryota; Fungi; Ascomycota; Dothideomycetes; Pleosporales.